GGGAAAUGUAGGGGAGCAGCCGGACUGAGCUGCCCAAGGGGGUCGGCGCCCCAGGCUUCUUGGUGGCAUGCUGGGGAGCGGGGAGGGGGCGAUUCUUACCCGAAGGCUGCCGAGCUACAGGCGGCGGUCGGUCCGGGCGUCUGCUGUAAUCCACUAGGCGCUGCCCGGCUGCGCUCACUCUCGGACGCAGAGACCCGCUCAUGUUGGUGAAGAAGCCGCGCCAGAACCGCGCGGCUGCAGUCACCUCGAGCAGGCCGGCUGCUCCUGGCAGGCGGUGUCGGCGCCGGCGGGGGACUCGGCGCCCAGGGCCCCUUCCAGGCCCUCCCUCGCCGGGCUCCCCACCAGCUCCGGAGGUGGCGGCGAUGCGGACCGAGUGAGCGGCGGUGGGGCCAGGCCGGGCGCCGGGCGGGAGCCGAGGCCGCGGCGGACUCCGCAAUCCCGCAGCCGGUGACUGGAGCCCACCUCUGCAGAGACAAAGGAACUGCUCUGGUGAACUCCCCCUGAAAGUAAAUGUCCUUGGCUGGCCUCCAGCAUUCCCCUCAUGGGCAUAGCCAUGCAGCCUUCAGAACCUUCCUGAAAGAGAUGCCCAAGGAUUCAGCAAACACGGGGGAAGCAGAGGACACAAGAAGCUUGGAUGUGAAAUAGCACUUCCUUCUGUGUUACAGAAUAAAACAAUAUUUUAAAUUACACAA
Molecule: long non-coding RNA, 692 nt
Filed under: Homo sapiens (human)
Lineage: Eukaryota; Metazoa; Chordata; Mammalia; Primates; Hominidae
Description: HOXD cluster antisense RNA 2 (HOXD-AS2)
Source: RNAcentral